CCUAUCUGGUUGAUCCUGCCAGUAGUCAUAUGCUUGUUCCAAAGACUAAGCCAUGCAUGUCUAAGUCCAUGCUGUGCGUUGUGGGAGUAAAAUCUCGCAGCCGCGGCGAAACCGCGGACGGCUCAUUAAAUCAGUCGUGGUCCAAAUGGGCUAGUGUUAUCCUACUUGGUUAACUGUGGUAAUUCCAGAGCUAAUACAUGCGACUGAAGCCCGAUCAAGAGGCACUUCGAGUGUCUUUUGUGACGACUGCUUUUAUUAGACCAAACCGCUGAGGGUAGUGCUUCCUGCGCUCCCGUAGACUCGUGUUAUGGUGACUCUGAAUAACACACCACUUGACAAGCGCACGUAUCCAUUGGUUUGGGACGGCGCUGCCACUUUCGAGUGUCUGCCUUAUCAGCUAUGAAUCGUUCGUUAUGUGCGACCGAUGGCUUUGACGGGUAACGGGGAAUCAGGGUUCGAUUCCGGAGAGGCAGCCUGAGAAACGGCUACCACGUCCAAGGACGGCAGCAGGCACGCAAAUUACCCAAUCCCAGCAACUGGGGGAGGUAGUGACGAAAUCUAACGAUGCGGGCGCCCCUUCUGGGGCCCCGCAAUCGGAAUGAGCGCUUUCUUUCUAAACACCCUGUUGAGAACCUACUGAAGGGCAAGUCUGGUGCCAGCAGCCGCGGUAAUUCCAGCUUCAGUAGCAUCUACUAAAGUUGCUGCGGUUAAAAGGCUCGCAGUUGAAUGUCAGUAUCAAGCGUAGCGAUGGUGGACGUUGGAGUUUGCUUGGAUCGUGGUGUGUGUGUUUGUGGUGCUUCCCUGUCAUGGGGGUGCUGCUGCACUGUGCUGCGCUCUCCUCGCAUGUCUAUAGCUCCCGUCCGACUCAAGCCUCCUCGCUUGCGUACAAAGGGGAAAUUCGUUUGGCUUUGCUGGUGUGCUUGCGGUGCUAGUGGGGGAGCGUUUGCGAAGCGGUGCCUUCUGGUGCAGGAGCGCACGCGCGCCUUCGCUGCCCGUGUGUGCCCUGUGGGGCUGGUUUUCAAAGUCACCUUGAGUAAAUCAGAGUGCUCAAAGCAGUCGUAAGGAGGUGUGUGCGGUUAACGCUGUGCGCCCUCUGUGAUGAAUGUCGUCAUGACAGACAGUCUUGGUUUUGCAUGGUAUGUCGGAAGACGCCGUUUUCUUAUCCUGUUGGUAACGAGUCUGGUGCGGGCUUGGCGUUUUCUGUGUCUCGCUCCCUGCAUUCUUUUGGGUGUAGGUGUGGUGCGUCCGGAAGGCGUCGACAUUCAUGAGACCAACCGGUGCGGAAUGAUAAAGAGGCACGGUCGAGGGUAUUGGUAUUGCGGGGCGAGAGGUGAAAUUCUAUGACCCCCGCAAGACCUCCUGAAGCGAAAGCAUCUGCCAAGGACGUUUUCAUUAAUCAUGAACGAAAGUUAGAGGAUCGAAGGCGAUCAGAUACCGCCCUAGUUCUAACCCUAAACGAUGCCAACCAUGCAAUGCCGUGCGUAGCACCCUUUCUAACGGGCUCGGCGGGCAGCUCCCCACUCACGGGAAACCAGAGUCUCUGGGUUCCGGGGGGAGUCUGGUUGCAAAGCUGAAACUUAAAGGAAUUGACGGAAAGGCACCACCAGGCGGCUUAAUUUGACUCAACACGGGCCAUCUCACCAGGCCAGCACUCUAGUACGAUUGACAGAUUGAGAGUUCUUUCUCGAUUCAGUGGAUGGUGGUGCAUGGCCGUUCUUAGUUGGUGGAGUGAUCUGUCUGGUUAAUUCCGAUAACGAACGAGACUCUCCCCUGCUAACUAGUCGGUUGGAUCUUGCGUCUGGAGAGUUGCCUAUGCCGAGGCGAGUACCUCCUCCUUCUCUCUCGCUUGCGUGCGUGUCUGUGCUUCCUGUGCAGCUCGUGUGUUGGCGUUUGGGUUGUUGGUGGGGGCUGCGAGUCGAGGUUGAAGCACUCCAAGUCCGCCGCUUACCCUGCUGCGCUCGGGGUUGCGCGAUUUUGUGCGGGUGCUCAGGUGCUCGUGCGGUCGUAUGCGCCUCGCUGUGUGGUGAGUAAAACUCUUCUUAGAGGGAUUCACGGUUCUGAAGCCGUAAGAAACUGAGAGCAAUAACAGGUCUGUGAUGCCCUUAGAUGUUCUGGGCCGCACGCGCGCUACAAUGCCGGGCUCAGCAAGUGUUCUUCCUUCUCCGAGAGGAGUGGGUAACCCUCUGAAAGCCCUUCAAACAUUUCUAUCAAAAAGGGAGUGCAUUGGUUUCUGCUUGAUCGCCUUGUGUGUGAGGGCGUUUGCUUGUGCUCUCCCUCCUUGGCUUGCUUGGGCCUGGGGCUUGCAAUUCUUUCCCACAAACGAGGAAUGCCUAGUAGCGGCGGAUCACUGAGUUCGCUGUGACUCAGUCCCUGCCCUUUGUACACACCGCCCGUCGCUACUACCGAUUGGGUGUACCAGUGAGAUCCUUGGAUUGGCGAGCCUUGUGCACUAGCAAUAGAGCAGAAGUGUGAACGACGUAAAGAGGCUCGAACUGGUGCACUUAGAGGAAGUAAAAGUCGUAACAAGGUUUCCGUAGGUGAACUGCGGAAGGAUCAUUA
RNAcentral lists this ribosomal RNA (2559 nucleotides) under Phreatogammarus sp. UE-2006. Its description in RNAcentral is "18S ribosomal RNA". It matches the Rfam family "Eukaryotic small subunit ribosomal RNA". Lineage: Eukaryota; Metazoa; Arthropoda; Malacostraca; Amphipoda; Phreatogammaridae. The record is from RNAcentral.